AAAGCGUGGACCGUCUGAUCUAAGCUCAUUAAUUGAGCUGGCAAAUCAUGAGGCCAGGAAGCGCGCGCGUACGGUGGAUCCAAGUCAAUGCGUGCACAUGUGAAACAAUUAAAAGUCAUAACAAACAAGGGACGAGAUUCAAUCUGGAGAAUGGAUCAAACGGCCAGGAUUUAAACUGGCAAUGAUGAAGCCACCGGAGCCACCGUCUUCUCCGGUGAGCUUCCCAGAUUCCGGCCAAGUUGCAGAAAGAAAAAAAAGGUAACCAAAACGUGCG
Molecule: long non-coding RNA, 274 nt
Filed under: Lathyrus oleraceus (garden pea)
Lineage: Eukaryota; Viridiplantae; Streptophyta; Magnoliopsida; Fabales; Fabaceae
Description: Pisum sativum (pea) long non-coding RNA (PSAT_LNC017860)
Source: RNAcentral